UACGUAGGGUGCAAGCGUUGCUCGGAAUUACUGGGCGUAAAGCGUGCGCAGGCGGUCUUUUAAGUCAGAUGUGAAAUCCCCGGGCUUAACCUGGGAAUGGCAUUUGGGACUGCAAGGCUGGAGUGCGGCAGAGGAGACUGGAAUUCCUGGUGUAGCAGUGAAAUGCGUAGAUAUCAGGAGGAACACCGAUGGCGAAGGCAGGUCUCUGGGCUGACACUGACGCUCAGGCACGAAAGCGUGGGGAGCAAACAGG
This 253-nucleotide ribosomal RNA is filed under the name uncultured bacterium. RNAcentral's name for it is "partial 16S ribosomal RNA". It matches the Rfam family "Bacterial small subunit ribosomal RNA", at positions 524 to 776 of the family's 1533-position model. The record is from RNAcentral.